AUUUUUUAGUAAUAGAUUGUUUUUCAUAAAAUAACAUAACAUGGGAAUUAUAUCAUAAAUAUAUAUAUUUUCCAAAAGUAAAUACACAUGACAUUUCUCACUCAGCGAGGUAAUAACAGCACUAAUACACACAAGCUCUCUCUCUCUCUCUCUCUUUCUCUGUGUGUCUCUGUCUCUCUCGCUCUCUUUCUAAUAACUUCAUUAAUAACUGCAUUAGAAUGCUAUCAACGGCUCAAGCCUCCAUUACCAGCCUUAAAAUGGUGUUUUGGAACCAGCAAAAGAGGCGUUUGAUGAGAUGCGGAAGAAAUAAUCCUACUCACAAUAGCGAUUUAAGUACAAAAACCGGAUGAAUCCCUUUAAAGAUAUCAUCUGAUCGAUGUCUUGAAGUGUGGUAACCGUAGUCCUUGAUUCCGGUCCUUGAUUCUGAUUGGUUGAGCCGCGUUGUAAAUUACUCUACAAACACACAUUUGUUUAUUUCUGUGUGUUGCUCGGCAACCACUUUGUUGGAACCACAUUGUUUGGUGAAAGAAUACUGCUUUUAUUUAUAUCAUUACACUUUAUUUAACUCUGUUUUAUUCUGUGAAACCUUACUACUUAUAUGGAAUAACCGUUUUAUAAAAGCAAUAAGCCCCCGUGAAGCCGUGGUUUACAGUGAAUUUACAAAUUUGUAAACCACGGCUUCUUGGGGCUUAUAGUUAUAUAUCACACAACUACAAAAAAUAUGUAACUUGCAACAUGCAGGAAAUAAUGACAUAAUAAGUGACGAAAAAAGGAGGAGGAGGAACUAAAACCAGACAAGGGUAAUGUUUUCACAUCUGCACAGUAAGGAAAUACUUGAGGCUGCAACAUGAUGAUGAAUCUCCUUGCAGCCAUAUGGACCCUGACGCCUUUGAUUCUGUUGGGCACUCUUGCUGCUGACUGGACAGUGCGUGUUCCUAUGGAUCCAGUCUAUGCUACUUCUGGUUCUUCUGUAGUUUUGGAGUGCACCUAUGACUACCCUGAAGAAUCUGACCAGGGAAUACUACGCAAAGUGCUGUCAGAGAUGUGGUGUCUGAAUGAAAGCCGCUGCAUUACUCCCAGAUACGUGUACCACAGUGCAGGGAUAUUCCCUGAGCCCUCAUACCAGGGCCGAGUCAAGUACUUGGGGCAGACAGGAAGCAAAAACUGCUCUCUGAUGAUAUCUGAUCUGAGGUCAGAAGACAGCGGCGUGUACGUGUUCCGGUUCAUCACCAACCACCUGAAAGCCAAGCUACCAGGACAGAGAGGAGUGAAUCUACAGGUCACACAUCAGAUAAAAUCAAUAAGUGCAUCUUCAUUCAUUACUGGCAUUGUGCUUGGAGUUAUUAUCAUGGUUAUCAUAAUAGCAGGCAUUGUGGUACUCAUCAGACGCAAGUCACGGGGAGAGAGGUCAAUAUCACUUUAAACCAGCUAUUACCACAGAGGAUGAAAAAAAUUACUUUUGACUGUAAACAAAACAGAGAUGUAAAAGAUGCAAUUUUUAUUAAGCCAGCAAAAAAAGAAAACAGGAAAGAAAACCACCUCUCAUUCUACUCUCUUCAGCACAUCAUUUUAAUCAAAAAAGCACAUGCUAUUGUUUCUAAAACCUCAUUUAUUAAAAAUGAAGCAAUAUUCAUUAAAGGAACAGUUCACCCUAAAACAUUACUAUCAAUCUGUUGCUAUUUACUCACCCUUGAAUCUAUGAAGAACCUAGAUACAGUUACAGGUUGGGAAUAUAUAUAUAUAUAUAUAUAUAUAUAUAUAUAUAUAUACACACAUAUAUAUAUAUAUAUAUAUAUAUAUAGUAAGCAAUUUUCUUAAAUAGAAACAGACCAGUACUUAGUAUUUUGAUUUUAAUUUCAGUAAUUGCAAUAAAUUGUGUAUUAAU
Molecule: long non-coding RNA, 1885 nt
Organism: Cyprinus carpio carpio
Lineage: Eukaryota; Metazoa; Chordata; Actinopteri; Cypriniformes; Cyprinidae
Source: Ensembl